Molecule: long non-coding RNA, 508 nt
Organism: Homo sapiens (human)
Lineage: Eukaryota; Metazoa; Chordata; Mammalia; Primates; Hominidae
Product: long intergenic non-protein coding RNA 511
Source: Ensembl
AAAAAAAAAAAAAAAAAAAAAAUUGUAUUUUACAAUUACAGUGAUACAAGGAUGAAUAGAAUCCAGGCUGGAUUCAUUGUUAUCUAGGCAUUCAUAUUACCGUCAUUGUAUUCAUUCUUGUUUUCAAAGGAAUUAGAACAUUUUCUUGGGCCCCCUAAAAGUAUUGGGGGCCCAGUGGAUGUGUUGGCCUUGGGUAGGUUUCUAGAAGUUGGACCCAGUGGUUUGGCUUCUUGACUACUUGGCAUGUUUUGUUGAAAUCACUCCGCUUUGAUUUUGGACCCAUCAAGAAUGUCCAAAAUUCCCCCAACCUGCAACUCUUAUUCUGGCCAAAGAGGGGGCUCUAGCUCAUAAAGUGUUGACAUCCCAUUUCCCGUUCCAGGUAUUUUUCCCUCUCCACCCUGGUCUUCUCCUGUAACGUGUGGCCGCCUUUUCCAGCACGGCCUCCUGCCUUCCUGGUGCACUUUUUGGAGAACGUGGUGGAAUCAGAGGUUUCUGGCUGACUCGGUGG